Caenorhabditis elegans is the source of this 168-nucleotide non-coding RNA. The record is from Ensembl. NCBI's taxonomy places the organism in Eukaryota, Metazoa, Nematoda, Chromadorea, Rhabditida, Rhabditidae.
AAUAGACAAAAAAGAGCACAUAUACGAACAGCUCAUUCGUUCCAAAAGCUCUUGUGCUUCUCGACUUCUCGAAACAAAAUGGCACGGCAUCCCGUUGAACCGAUUUUUCAUUUACCCUUUUGCGUUGCAUAGGAAAAAUAGGAGGCACUUGUGUAAGCUGUGAAUUGG